UCACUAUUAUGGUUUGUUCUGCAUCAACAGUAAUCCUUUACUGCCUUUUUAUUCCAGAUACAAUAAACUUUUUUUUGUGAGAGAUUAGUACCUCAACUUUGCUUCUGCAUUUCAUCAGCCAGAGCAGCUGUUCAUUAUUUUGUGUAUUUCAAAGCAGGAGAGAUAAUAACUAAAACAGACAUCAAAACUUGUGGUGGGGAGAAGAAUGCAUCCUUCCAUUCAGUGCAUCCUCUAGGUUCAGUGUACCUUGGAAAGCCCAGUCCAUCCAAGCACACAAUUCACUUCUCACCAUGGACAGACAUCUCCACCUGAGCUGGAAGCCUGAGGCUGCCUUUGGAAGCAGCAGAGAGGAAAAGGCACCUUCAGAAGCCUCUUCACCCCAUCCUUAGGUAGACAUAGAAAGGAAGAUUCAGGUGAGUAGCUCACAAAUACGCCUCCAUUAUAGAUAUCUGUCUUUAAUCAGAUAAAUCCCUACAGUGUCCCCAAAGAGAAGCUCAAAACCCAGGGACCCGAGGGAAAUGAGGCUUUGUCCCUCUCAGGGGUGUGGGAGCUGCCAUCUCUCUGUCUGCAGGAUUUGCAGGUGCAGAGUGAACAUGCCACAGGCUCCCUGUGGCAUCCAUCAG
This 623-nucleotide long non-coding RNA is filed under the name Ficedula albicollis (Collared flycatcher). RNAcentral's name for it is "lncRNA (ENSFALG00000023024.1)". The record is from RNAcentral. Lineage: Eukaryota; Metazoa; Chordata; Aves; Passeriformes; Muscicapidae.